This 77-nucleotide transfer RNA is filed under the name Solemya velum gill symbiont. RNAcentral's name for it is "tRNA-Arg". It matches the Rfam family "tRNA". From Rfam's summary of the family: Transfer RNA (tRNA) molecules are approximately 80 nucleotides in length. Their secondary structure includes four short double-helical elements and three loops (D, anti-codon, and T loops). The record is from RNAcentral. Lineage: Bacteria; Pseudomonadati; Pseudomonadota; Gammaproteobacteria.
GCGCCUGUAGCUCAGCUGGAUAGAGUGUCGCCCUCCGAAGGCGAAGGUCACAGGUUCGACUCCUGUCAGGCGCACCA